CUUGUGCGACAAACUCCGUCCAGCGGGUGUCCUAUUUGAAGUAUCAUCACUGGGCAAAGUUUGUCGCAUAAC
Non-coding RNA from Anopheles atroparvus, 72 nucleotides. The record is from Rfam. NCBI's taxonomy places the organism in Eukaryota, Metazoa, Arthropoda, Insecta, Diptera, Culicidae.